AGUCAUGGAUAAGGUUUGUUAAGCUCAGAAAACUGAUCAAUAUUGAAGACUAAAGCUGAAUCAGACACAUAAGGUAUGGCUGCCAUCCUCUCUUCCUGAGUGCAACCAUUGCUGCCUCCAGUUCCAUGGUUCCAGCCACUUGAGCAACUCAUAAUCUCCAGGUGGCCUCCAACUCCCAGGUGCUACGUGCCACAUUCAGAUAAAUAUGCUGAGGAAUCCUGCUGCCAAGUUGUGAGAGGACAUCAUUCUUUAGAAGGCCAGAACAGCUCUGUCAUAGCUUGUGCCUUCUUCCCUCGACGAGAUAAGUCCUUCCUGUUCACAGUCUGUAUAAUAGUUAAGUGAGAUCUGUUGUUAACCUGCACUUUUCUGACUGCAGUUAAUUUUGAGCUUCCUCAACUUGCUUGUAAUUGUUGCUACUUUUCAAGAUUGCUGUCUUGAGCUGGUGACUUUUCUUUUAAGUAGUUUUUCAUAUACACUGGAAUACUUGAAAUGUAACAACAGCCCAUCCAUUCUUCCAUGGUCUUGUUCACACUUACCAUACCAUAGAUCUUCGAGUGGAUAGAGUUAUUUUUAUGCUUUUAUUUUUGUGUGUCUGCUGUGCCUGUGUAUCCCAUAUUUUCCAGAGGGCUCACCAUACAUGAAAAGAUUUUUUGUUUGUUUGUUUUGUUUUGUUUUGAACACAUUUGAGUGUAUUUUCCCCUAUGGCAUGGUUUAUAAGCAUCUAAUAUUAUUCUUCUGAAUGACGAUGCUUGACUUUCCCAACAGCACAUGUAGAAGAGACUAGUCUUUCUCUACUAAGUGUUCUCAGCUGUGAUCACAAGGGUUCCUUCCUCCUGAGCUGUAUGGCUUCAUACUGCCUUUAGGGCUGCUUUUAUAACAAUGUCAACCGUAUUAAUCACAGUUGUUUUGUAAGAAUACCAUGAACCCUAGAGCAUGACACCUUCAGGUCUACCCCUUUGUCCUCUGGGGACAUUCAUUUGAUUAUUUGAGAUUUUUUUCUCUUUUGAUUUAAAUUUUAUGACUUUUAAAGCCAUUUCUGUGAGAAAUGUGGUUAAAGUUGUGGUAGAGCCAGGAUACUUAGGUUAGUACAGGUAUUAUUCAAGGAUUUCUAACUUCCAACCCACAAAUAAGAUGGCGUUGCUUUUCUUGUAGAAAUGCUAAAUCAUGCUUGUUUUUCUGUGAAAUUCUAAAUGGAUUUUUUUUUC
RNAcentral lists this small RNA (1205 nucleotides) under Rattus norvegicus (Norway rat). Its description in RNAcentral is "uncharacterized LOC103691533". The record is from RNAcentral. Lineage: Eukaryota; Metazoa; Chordata; Mammalia; Rodentia; Muridae.